RNAcentral lists this transfer RNA (74 nucleotides) under Oceanicaulis sp. HTCC2633. It matches the Rfam family "tRNA". From Rfam's summary of the family: Transfer RNA (tRNA) molecules are approximately 80 nucleotides in length. RNAcentral also lists the same sequence under 2 other names. The record is from Rfam by way of RNAcentral. Lineage: Bacteria; Pseudomonadati; Pseudomonadota; Alphaproteobacteria; Maricaulales; Maricaulaceae.
GGCUGGGUAGCUCAGCUGGUUAGAGCGCACGACUCAUAAUCGUGAGGUCGGGAGUUCAAGUCUCCCCCCCGCCA